Molecule: ribosomal RNA, 459 nt
Filed under: uncultured bacterium
Lineage: Bacteria
Description: bacterial SSU rRNA
Rfam family: Bacterial small subunit ribosomal RNA
Source: RNAcentral
GAACGGAGUUAUUAUUAUGAAGUUUUCGGAUGGAUUGAUAAUAACUUAGUGGCGGACGGGUGAGUAACGCGUGGGUAACCUGCCUCAUACAGGGGGAUAACAGCUGGAAACGGCUGCUAACACCGCAUAACAUUGCGUUGUCGCAUGACAGUGCAAUUAAAUAUUUAUAGGUAUGAGAUGGGCCCGCGUCUGAUUAGCUAGUUGGUGAGGUAAUGGCUCACCAAGGCGACGAUCAGUAGCCGGCUUGAGAGAGUGACCGGCCACAUUGGGACUGAGACACGGCCCAAACUCCUACGGGAGGCAGCAGUGGGGAAUAUUGCACAAUGGGGGAAACCCUGAUGCAGCGACGCCGCGUGAGUGAAGAAGUAUUUCGGUAUGUAAAGCUCUAUCAGCAGGGAAGAAAAUGACGGUACCUGACUAAGAAGCCCCGGCUAACUACGUGCCAGCAGCCGCGGUAAU